Molecule: ribosomal RNA, 253 nt
Filed under: uncultured bacterium
Lineage: Bacteria
Description: partial 16S ribosomal RNA
Rfam family: Bacterial small subunit ribosomal RNA
Source: RNAcentral
UACGGAGGGGGCUAGCGUUGUUCGGAAUUACUGGGCGUAAAGCGCACGUAGGCGGCUUUGUAAGUCAGAGGUGAAAUCCCGGGGCUCAACUCCGGAACUGCCUUUGAGACUGCAUCGCUUGAAUCCAGGAGAGGUGGGUGGAAUUCCGAGUGUAGAGGUGAAAUUCGUAGAUAUUCGGAAGAACACCAGUGGCGAAGGCGGCUCACUGGACUGGUAUUGACGCUGAGGUGCGAAAGCGUGGGGAGCAAACAGG